RNAcentral lists this ribosomal RNA (496 nucleotides) under uncultured bacterium. RNAcentral's name for it is "partial 16S ribosomal RNA". It matches the Rfam family "Bacterial small subunit ribosomal RNA", at positions 28 to 506 of the family's 1533-position model. The record is from RNAcentral.
GAUGAACGCUGGCGGCGUGCCUAAUACAUGCAAGUCGAGCGAACAGAUGAGGAGCUUGCUCCUCUGACGUUAGCGGCGGACGGGUGAGUAACACGUGGAUAACCUACCUAUAAGACUGGGAUAACUUCGGGAAACCGGAGCUAAUACCGGAUAAUAUAUUGAACCGCAUGGUUCAAUAGUGAAAGACGGUUUUGCUGUCACUUAUAGAUGGAUCCGCGCCGCAUUAGCUAGUUGGUAAGGUAACGGCUUACCAAGGCAACGAUGCGUAGCCGACCUGAGAGGGUGAUCGGCCACACUGGAACUGAGACACGGUCCAGACUCCUACGGGAGGCAGCAGUAGGGAAUCUGCCGCAAUGGGCGAAAGCUUGACGGAGCAACGCCGCGGGAGUGAUGAAGGUCUUCGGAUCGUAAAACUCUGUUAUUAGGGAAGAACAAAUGUGUAAGUAACUAUGCACGUCUUGACGGUACCUAAGCAGAAAGCCACGGCUAACUACGU